This 8876-nucleotide long non-coding RNA is filed under the name Olea europaea (common olive). RNAcentral's name for it is "long non-coding RNA (OEUR_LNC011115)". Lineage: Eukaryota; Viridiplantae; Streptophyta; Magnoliopsida; Lamiales; Oleaceae. The record is from RNAcentral.
CACUUAUUUACUACAAUAUAUUGCUCUUUUGCGCCAUCUUACAAAAUUUUCAUCUAAUAGUAUAGUCCAGUCGACCUUAUCUGCAUUAAAUAAACACGAUUAGGCCAUAUAUACCCAAAAUUUGAACUUGUCAUUUUUGUAUUAUCAUCAGGCCUGUCCUCGAUCAAAACUUGUAUUAUGUUGGAAUGAAGUAUACAUCAGCAACUUUUACAGCAGCAACUAUCAACAUUCUCCCAGGCAUCACCUUCAUAAUGGCUGUUAUUUUCAGGUAUAUCUUUACUUUCCCAGAUUCAUUAACAAAACUUUGUAUUAUACUAGUUUGAUGGGGUUCAAAGGUGAAAAGAGAGUUAGAUCGAUGUGCAUGGCAUAACAUUCCCAUUUUUUUGUGUAUUUAUUCUUAGUUGAGUUUGAGACGACAUCAACCAAAAUAUACUAAUUAAAAAAUGGGAAAAUUGUAGCAUAGCUCCAAACCUUUUUCAAUUAUUGAAAACUUUACCCUAACCUUCAAUUUGUGUCAACAAAGGUCCCCAACCUUUCAGAAGUAUGCACCUGAGUCCAAAUUAAUGGAAACCCAUCCAUUUGAACUUUAGUUGACCAAUAAAAUUGAAUUUUGAACAAUUUUGACUAAUUUAAAAGAGUAAAAGGGUAACUUUGCAAUUUAACUCUAUAAAACAAUUAAAAUAAAUAAUCAAAACAAAAUAAAAAUAAUAAAAGGAAAAAAACUAUUCAUCUCACACCCCCAUCCUCCCAAAUCCACUACCCAAGCAACCUCUUCAUUAGAAUUUUUACUUCUCCAACACAAAGAAUUUCCCACUUGAACCUUAUUUCCCUCACAAUACAAAUACCCAUCUUCAGAUUUUGUGAAACAAUACUAGAGAUUCUGGGUUUUGAGUUCAAUGAGGGACAGAAUUGCUCGUAUGCACAAAGAGGCGAUUUUUGAAGUAGGCUUAAGUUUGAAGGGUGAAAUGGGUUUUAUGGGAAACCAAGUAAAUGGGGAUUUCGGGGAUUUUAUGGAAAGGAUUGUUGGGGUUUGAGAGAGGAGGUUUAUAGCCACCAUUGUUGGGAGAAAGUGAAGAAAAUGCAACCGUUUACACAAAGAAAGAUGAUUUUUUGGUUUUGGUUUGCGGUGGUCGCUGGCGAUGGCCGGAAGUAGCAGAUGGUCGACGAGUUGUUUCUAGAUUUUGGUUCUUUUUUUUGUUGGGGGGAGGAGGCAGGUGAGAUGUGUAAGAAGAUGAUAUUUUAUUUUUAUCUUUUCUCUCUUUUUAUUUUGUUUUAUUUUAUUUUAUUUCUGGGUUUUCCAUUAUUUUAUGUAUAUAAUAGCAAAGUUAUCAUUUACCCAUUUUAAUUUGAUCAAAAUUUGUCAAAGUCCACUUUUGUUGGUUCAACUAAUGGUCAAAUGAACAACAUUUGGAUCCAAGUGCAUAUUUCUGAAAGUUAGGAACAUUCACUAGCACAAAUCGAAGGUUAUGGUAAAAUCUGCAAAAAUAGAAAAGACUUGGGACCAUUGCUACAAUUUUCCCUUAAAGAAUUUAGAGGUGUCAAAAUAGGCGGAUCGACCCAAGCCAGGUUCGUCUGUGAAAAGUUCAAGCUGAUAACCAGUCUAGACUUGGCCCCUGAUGACAUGUUGCCCAUGUAGACAUUUUUAUCAAAAAAAAAAAAAAUAAUAAUAAUAAUAAAUAAAUAAUAAUCAUUUUUAUUUUACUUCUACUAAAAUCCUUUUGAAAAAUGUGGGGACCAGGCCUCUAAGACAAGCCAUCUGGAUCCAACCUACUCAUUUUGACACCUUGAGAAAAAUCAUAUUAUCAUUUCUUCAAAAAUAUUUAGUGCCUCUGUUUGGGUUUAUUUUCAUUUGUAACUAAAAAGUUACUUUUAAAGGAUCCAUGGUAUUAUACACAUAUCGACCACUCAUUUCUCGAAAAAUAAAAGAAACACGAACAUAAGCAUAUUAAAAUUUUGUGCUUUUCUAAAUAAAUUUUAAUCUGAUCACAUGUACUUCAUAUUUAUAGGUUGGAGAAGGUUAACUUGAAACAGAUACACAGUCUAGCAAAGGUCAUUGGAACUGGAAUAACACUCUUAGGUGCAAUGCUCAUGACAUUCUACAAAGGCCCUGUAGUCGAUAUUCUUCCCCACUCACUCAGCAGAAGCCACCAUGAAACCGCUAGCACCGUUGGCUCAGCCGAUCAGCACUGGAUCACUGGCACAAUUAUGUUGCUUUCUUGUAUUGUGGGUUGGUCCGGUUUCUUUAUAGUUCAAGUAAGUUCUAUGUCCAUCCAGAUAGGAUUAGACAAGAUCAUUACAAAGUUAUAUCUAGACCUAUCUAAUCGAGCUUAUCAAAUAUGUCGUUUAUGUGCACUCGAAUUUAUCGAAAUUUUUUCUUUUAGAUUUAAUUAAAGUUAAAUAUUGAUAUGGUUUGAACAGAAUAAGACACUGAAGGAAUAUCCUGCAGAGCUCUCUCUUACAUCAUUAGUUUGUUUCAUGGGAAUGGUGGAAGGUGGAGUUGUGGCUAUAAUAAUGGAACACCAUAUCAGUGCCUGGGCAAUUGGCUUUGACUCAAGACUUUUGGCUGCUGUAUAUUCUGUGAGUAAAUUUCAAUAAUUAGGACGAAAAGCAAUUUAUAUAUUCUCUUAAUGACAUGUUUGGUAUAGGGUUAUAUAUGAUAACGCUGGACAAUACACUAUUUUGGCUUUAUUCCUUUUUGCAUAGUGUUGAUUAAUUGUUGUGAGUUGUAGAGCUUAAUUAUUCUCGCCGUGCGGAGUUAGCACACAAAUUUAUUGCAGCAACUAAAGAGGAUGUAGUCUCAAAUCAAAGCGAACAUAAAUCUCGUGUGAUCUCGUGUGCAUUUUUUUCUAUGAAUUUUUGUUCUUGGUGGUAGAAUUAGAGUUUUUAAUUCUUAACAAGCAUUCAACAUUAUCAAACACACGACAGGGGUAUUGAGAAUAAAAUUUUGUAACGCAUUGAGAGAAUAGAGCUAGACUAGGUGGAAAAAACCCUAAAACGGUCACGAAGUAUGUAGGCUUUGCUCGGGAGCAUUCUCUAACAAAGCAUUAUAUAUUUUCAAGGAAUGCAAACAUUGAAACACUUUGUCUAAUUAAGUCAUAGUUUCAUGUCAAGAAUCAUAUUAUAAUAUGUGACAAAAUUUUAUGUUGACUAUCAACCUAUCGUAAUUAGUAAGUCUCCUUCUUUAUAAGAUAUUGUAUCUAAAUAUAUGUACUUCAUUGCAGGGGAUCGUUUGCUCAGGAAUUGCAUAUUAUCUGCAAAGUGUUGUCAACAAGGCACGAGGUCCAGUGUUUGUGACUUCAUUCAGUCCUCUAAGCAUGAUAAUCACAGCUCUUUUGGGAGCCAUGGUUUUGGCUGAGCAAAUUCACCUUGGAAGGUAACUUUCGUGCUUGUAAUUUCGUUGAACAAGCCAAUUACUUUUAUUAUAUGAAGUUUCUUGGGCAGGUAAAAUCUGUUUCAAAAACUUUAUACAACGGCUAAGAGUCGUUCGCUGCCCUCGCCGUGUCCCGUGUUGCCCAACCCCAUUAGGGUUGGGAUUCCCCAGUUAGUCGGUGUUCGGGUUGAGUACGGGAAAAAUAGUCCCAUCCCGACUCUUCUUCUUUAUUUCAUUAUAUACAAUAUAUUUAUGUUUUAAAAUUAAAAUCUUUAAGUUUAAAAAAAAAAUUAGUUAGCAAAAAAUAUGAAUAUUUUAAUCUGAAUCAUGCCUCCUACCAAAUGCAAAGGAGAUGGCGAUAGGGAGGGCUUCCUCGGCCCUGCCACAUCCCAUCUCUUUUGCCAUCCCCACUCAAGGAAACACACACCAAACAAGUUGUGCCUAAUGCGCACAUCAUCUGCAUACAUCGCACUCGUUAAUUUAGCAUGAGAAUUUUUAUCAAUUAUGAUCGUCGCUUAUAUUUCUUGAUACAUAAUCGUUCGAUAAUUAGUAGUUAAAAAUGUGUGUAUAUUUGUACUUGCAGCUUAAUAGGAGCAAUUAUCAUUGUAUUUGGACUCUACUCAGUUGUAUGGGGUAAGAGCAAAGAGAAUUCAAACUCGGACGAGUUAGUGUACGAGGAAAACAAAUCCCAUGAUGCAUUGCCAGUGGUGUACAAGAAAACAUCAAACAUUCUUGACAAUGCUACAACUGAUACCGACGUAAAACCAGAUGUACGAGAGAAUAAUUCCUUAAAUCAAGAGCCAUGAAAUAGCAACAUCGUCCUGUCCCAUCCCGUCCCAGCCUAGCCCGUGUUGUUUUUACAUUUUUAGCCCAUGUUGUAUUUAUACCCAUAAAGGCAGAGUAAUUAUGUCAUAUAUUACUGACAUUUUAGCAUUGUAAAUUGGAAAUCAAAUGGGUUUUGGGGAUUAAAGAUCUUGAAAAAGUCAUAUAUCAAGUAUCAAUACUAAUGAAACAAGUGAAAUUUGACAGAUAAAUGUUACAAAUUCACUGCGCAAACUACAUAUCGAAACUUGUGUUGUAUCCUUGUGUGACCUUGGAUAUACAUGUCUUUAUACAUUUUACUUUAAUUGAAAGCGGUAUCUUGCAAUUUGAAUUGAAACUUGUUUUCGUGAGGAUUGUGUUGCGGUUUGACGAAGAUUUGGAAGUUUCCGCCAUUGUAGAUUAUAACUAUAACGAACAAUUUAGCUCCUAUUUGUUUUGGAUAAAAAUUAAAAUUUUCGUAUAUUUUGAUAAAAUUUGAUGAAAUAUUUAGUUAAAUGUUGAUAAGGUAUUGGAUCUCAUAAAAAUGUGUGAUUGAAAAUGAGUUUUAAAAAAUAAUAAUGAUGAUUGAACAGAGUUAAAAACACGAAAAGUGUGGACAGAGUGAGUUGGCAGCAUUUGGUUGGAUUUAUUUUUAGAAAAUUUUCAAACCAUCCAUUCAUGCUUCUCUUUAAGGAUUAGGGGUCAAAAAUGGUCUUAACUCUUGAGGGUUUAGGAAUGUCAAAGAUGAAAAAUAUUUUCGAUUAAUUUCAAUUGUCAAACAUCUUUGUCUUUAAAAUGAGUAUAUAUGGGAUCAUAUUCAAUCCCUGUUAUAUGAAAAAAUUCGAAAUUACAAAUUUAUCAGUGAAAUAGUUAAAUGGACCAAAAUGUCCAUAAUUGAAGAUAACAACUCACGUGAUUUAUAAUACAUUUUGUAACACAUCAAUUUUUUUUUUAGCUUUUUUAUUCUCCUAAAGUUCAAUUAUUAUUUCAUUUUCAUCUAAUUAACAUUUUUUUAAAUCUUUUUCAUUCACAUGUCCUAGGUAAAUUAACGUGCAGUCUAGUGUUUUAAAUAAUUUUCUUCCAUUCGCAUUAUUUACUUUAAAAUUUGUUAGGAAUGCAUGUCUAAUUUUAUUAGUUUGAUGAUUAUGCACUUGUUUGAUAAAGAUUUUUAGAGAAGUAAUUAUUUGAAAAUAUCUUCUCUAUGAAUGUGUGAUUAAAAAUUAGGAAAGUUAUGAGGAAUGAGAAAAAUAAUAUUUUGGGAGAUUGUAUGAUUGAAAACAAGUACGGAAGAAAAAUUAUUCUCAAACAAUAAAAACCGAACUAAGGCCCCUUUCAUGAGAAAGCUUCAUAGAAGAGAAUAAUGUAUAUAUAUACAUAUAAUUAAUGAGUAUUUCCUAUAUUUUACAAUAUUUUCUAACUUAGUAAAAUUAUUUUUAGUGACUUGAUGUUAGAGCUGAAGAAAGAAAAAUAAUAAAUUUUAUAGAUCUCUCUCUCUCUCUCUCACACACACAUAAAUCAUCCAAAAAAAACCAUUGAAAAAUCAGUACUCGGAAAGUGGUAUGCAAAACAUUAAAUUGAUGCUGGUGUAAAUCUUGGCAUUUCUCGUAAUGCUUUAUGAGUUUGAAAGUAGUUUGUUGGAUGAUUUCGGCAAUUAAAAAUUGAAGACUUCGAUGAAAGGGAUCUAGGAAGAGUCACAUGUCAAGCAUCAAUAAUAUAGAAGCAAAUGAAAAUUUACACGUGUUACAAAAUUGUGGAAGUGUGUACAAAAGAUGGUACUAUAAAAAUGGAAAAUUUGCAAUAUUAAUAAUGCUGUUUAAACUUCAAAUAACAAGUUUUGAAAAUAAUAAAAAAAAUAAAAUUGGGUAUCAACAUUCUAUUAUAAUUGCAAAACUAGUCAGUCAUAAAUUAGGAAACUUAUAAAUUUUUAUUAACUCUUUCGUGACCUCAAAUAUUCAUGAAGCUAAAUUUUACUUCUCUUAUUAUAUUGGUGCCUAAAAAUUUAAUUUUUGAUGUUUCUUUCACUCUCUUUUUAACGACUGCUAAUCAUUGUGCUCAUAUGCUGGUUUGAUUCUCCAAUCUUGCCCAACUCUCAAUUGGAUCUUAGACAAAGGGUCAUAUCUAACUCUCUAUGUCAAUUUGUUCAAGAUCAACUGCUUUUCGCGUCGGAUUAAUUGAUAUUUGUGUAGUUUUGGGAUUUUUUAUUUAAAUCAAAUAAAUUGGGAGUAAUGAACACUAAUAUUAAUAACAGAGUUUGUAAUGGUUUUUAAUUGUUAAAAAAAAAGGGUUAUUUUAAGUGAUUUAGAGAAGAGAGGGUGGGGGUGGAGGAGAAGCAAUGUAAAUAUAAAAAGUAAUAGUCAUCUGGAAUAAAAUAAAAUUUUGAAAAAAUAAUUUAUUAUUGUAAAAUAAUGAGAUAAUUAUUUAUGAUUAUUUGAUAUCAUCAUGAUAUAUAAAUAACUCUUAUUUAGUUUAAAAUAUAUAUUUCAUACAAAUUGUAACUCUUAUUUUUGACCUUAUAAAGAUAUGAUAUUAGUUCUUAAUAAUACACAUUUGAGUUUGACUCUUAUAUUAUCUUCUUCUCUCUUUUCAUAAUACUUAUUAUUUUUAAUAUCUUAAAUAAAAGAUAUCAAUGAAAUAAUUUUUUGAUAGGUAAAUUUUUUUUUUUUUUGAUAGGUGAUAUUAAUGAAAUAUUUCAUUAGGUGGGUUUGAGCCCCAUUAUUUUUUCAUUAAAAUGAAAAAUAUGACAUAUUAAGUCACCAUAUUUGACUUUUUAUCUAUUGUGUAGGGCUCAUAAUGACUAUAUUUUUCAUUUUCAUUUUUACAAUAAAGUGGCUCAAACGGGGGCUAGUAACUUAACUAAAAAAUGGAAAACAAACAAAAGGACAAUCUUUCAUCGUGACACCAAAUUUUCUUCGUUGACGAUGGCAAUCGAUGCUUUGUUGAUAAUCGUUGACAUUAUCUUACGUAUGUGCAUUCAAAUAAAAAAAAUAAACAAAAGAAUAAAUGUUCAUCGGUGACACUAGAGUUUCUUCAUUAGCGAUAGUGAUCGCUACACUAUUGAUAGUUGUCGAUAAUGUAUUAUGGAGGUGCAUCCAUAAUAAUCAAGAUUAUUGAUUUUUAUUAGAACUAUCGGCAAUAACCAUCCAAUAUCACCAACAAAAAAUCUGUCCAUGAUCAUUUACUACAUUUUUUUUUAGUUAGUAAACUCGUUAAGCCUUGCCAAACACUACAAUUUUUAUUUUUAUUUUUUUGUCUUUUUCCUCUCCUAAUAAAAAAUUACACGUAAUUUUCUUUUCUAGUGAAAUAGAAUAGAAAUAUAAAAAAGUAAAUUAUUCUAUUUGAGGAUACAAGUUACUUAAAAGUUAGUAUAUUUUCAAAAAGAAUACAUUUUUGAAUAGUGUAUUGAUCGAAAAUGUGUAGUUAAAAAUAAGAAAAAAAAUUUGGAUUUACGUGUAAUAUUAUUUUAUUGAAUAAUACGUGAUUAAAAUAAUAUCAAAUCACUAUUUAAGAAUGUAUUUUCUAAAGAAUGUAGGUCAAAUUAUUUUUAAGCUUAGGCCAUUUCUAGCGUUGCACCAAAUUUUAUACCAAAUCUUUCACCAAACUAAAAUUCGUCUCCAACCAUUACACCAAAAAUUACACAAAAUGAACAAUAUUUAACCAUUUUCUUCCCUUUUUUUUAUUCUUUAUAAUAUAUUUAUAUGAAAAAUUAUUUAUUUAAUUACUUUAUAAAUACAUAAAUUACUAAAUAAAUAAUUACGUUAAAUUACGAAAAAGAUCAAACUCAUUAAUAAAUCGUGUUUGUUAUAUUUUAUUUUUUCUUCUUUUAAUUAAUUUAUUAAUUAUUAUUUCUUACAUUUAAAAUUUAUUUUAAAUGCAAGUAAUAAUCAAAAUAAUAAUAAUUUAUUGUAUUAAAAAAUAGAUAGUACAAAUAACACAAAUACCCUUAAUCAAUUUAUUUGAAAAAGGAAAAUGAAAGGUAAAAAUGACUUUAGACACAUUGCACCAUUUUGGUGCAAAGUGAACUUACACCAUUUUGGUGCAAAAUAGUGCAAAGUUUAAUGUUACAUUUGAGGUAUUUUGCACCAUUUUUUCGUGCAUUUUUAUGUUUUGGGUAAGCAUUGGAGAUGCCCAGCAAAACAUGCCAUCUGAUAUGGCACUUGAUGAUUGGGGAAAGCUACAAAACAUGGGAAACAUUGUACCAGCUUAACCCAAAAUGUUGGGGAAAAUCAUUGCAGAAGUCUAUAAUUUGUAUGUAUUCUAAGGAAAAGUAUACAAUUUUAUGUAGGCAGUAGAAUCCAUAUAGAAAUCAUGUUUAAAUAAAUUUAAAGAAAUUUUUAAACUCAUAACCUUCUUACAAUAUGUAUAGAUUGAUGACUUCUCCUUACGUUUUCUGUCUGUAUACUCCUUUGCUUCACUUUGAUGAAUCUUCUUGGUCUGUCUUCCCUUAACGGCCACCUGCCUGAUUGUAUUUUAGUCCCAGUGAUUCUGUAAAGAUCCGUACAUGGUUUGUAUAUAGAACUGAAAAGUAUGAAGAAUUGACUAAAACAUGAAAGUUUUAUUCAAUAAGAAGGUUUAAGAGUAUGAAGAACUCUUAAACUUAUUUAAUUACAUGAAAAGAUUCAAAAAUAAAUCUACUGUCUUUGAGGGUUUAGCCUCACAGUGUAUACAUUUAGUAUUUCAGAAUUAGAAAAUUUUGCUCUCAAAAUUU